GUGGGCACCUGGUGUUCAGCCAGGGAUAACCCACCACAUGCUGUUAUAAGCUAAUGCUGGAGCUUUAACAAACCUUUGGAUUCAUGCAAUUAGGCACUGACUUCCACCAGGGUGCUAACUUUGUAGGUAGGUAUUUCUUAAAAGGUUUAUUUAAAUUAUGAGGUAUUUCUUGCAAGGUUUAUUUAAAUUAUUAGGUGUAACCUGAGAAGUUCACUGUGUUUCCACAGGGGUCUGGGUUGCUCGGAGUGGUCAUAAAUAACUUGGGAAAUGAGAUGAGCAGUGUCUUGUUGAUAUGAAGCCAUUCAGGAAAGAAAGGAUUAGGUAAUAAAAUGGCAGAUAUAAUUCAAUGUUGAUAAAUCUGAUGUAAUUCAGAGUAGAUAAAUGUAGACUGGUGCACAUAAUUUCAUAUAUAAAAUGAUGGGCUGACCCUUAACACUGAGGAAUGAAAUAUUGCCACAAUAGUGUCAGUUCCGUAGUGAUCAAAAAGCAGAUGAAACAUUAGGAAGUAUUAGGAAGGAAAUAGAAGACAAACCAGAACAUAAUUAUGAAACUGUAUAAAUCAAUGGUUAUCUCACAUCUUGAAUUCUGUGUGGUUCUUUCUUGUCAUUCAUCUCAAAAGAUACAAAAGAAUUGGAAAAGCCUCAAAGAGAAGCAGAGAGCGUAAUCAAAGGUAUGGAAUAGCUGCUGCACAAGGGUCAAUGAAAUAAGCUAGAGCUCGCAGCCUGGAGAAGGAACAGCUAAAAGAAAAUGGUAAAAAUCUGUAGAAUAAUGAUCAGCAUGGGUAGGGUGGAUAAGAAUAGACUUGCUGUUUUCCUCAGCUGCAAGAAUGAAGGAGCAACAACUGAAACUAGUAAGAUCCAGGUUUAGAACAAAAAAGAAGGGGCCUUUUUGUUUAACAAAUAGCAGCCCUGUGGAGUUCCUUGCCAAUGGAUGUUGUAGGUACAAGCAGGGAAACCAGAUGUGUUUGUGGAAAAGAAGUUAUAUGAGGGCUGUUAUUCCACAGAAAUUGCCUACAACUUAGGAAGUCUCUGAGCUUGGUAUCACUGAAGUAUUGGGGUGACUGUCAUCCCUGUUCUUAUUCUUCCCUGCUGGUCAUUGUUGAAGAUAAAAUGGGAUGCUGAGCUGAAUGGCCCCUUGUUCUGAUCCAGUACUGUCCUAAGAUUAGGAAUAGAUAGUAAUAAACUCACAAUACAGUUUCAGAGAUUACUCUAGUUUAUAUGAACGUUAUGUAGUUUAUAAUCUAAUGGACCAUAUAAAGCUAUUUGUUACAGGCUCUCUGUGCAGACCUCCAUCCCUGAGACCAGUCUCUGUGUUAAAAGUCAGGUCUUCACCAUCAACAAGGAAAACCAAGGAUUGUUUUUCAUGAGGGUCAACUUGGCAGUAGUAUUUGUGCUCUUCACUUAUAUUUUGCAUUUUUCCUCCUCUUAUGUUCCUCUCUAUCUCCUACAGUCUCCCCUAAAACCUUCUGGCUGUCCUGGGGCACAUCUACCUAUUUCACCAGCUUUUGGUCAUCUUUUUAACAGUUAUUCACCUCUACUCUGUAUUUGUUGUCAGUUAGUCAAACUGAGUGUAACUCAGCUGCCCUUUUGCAUGGCUAAUAAAGAUUGACAAAGCCAGUCGGUGUUCAUUGUGGUGAAGCUCUGGAAAGCUUUAAGUGCAGUAGUUGCCUUCAUGAAAAGAUAGCACAUGACUCAUUGGUCCCUGUUUUCAGUGCUUCUUGUAAGUGUUGAGAGGUUAGAAGUUAGGUAUGCAUUAAUGACACCUUUGCCAUGUCUACAUUCAGUUAAGGCUAGCUAGCUAGAGUCAGUGAACAUAAAUAAGAUCAUCCACUACCUUUAAUGUGUUUUGAAAUAAUUGGGGGAUAAAGCAUCAGCAAACUGCAGUUCCUGUAUUUCUGACAGUAAGAUUUGCGUGGGGAUUUAAUCUUGUUUUGGUUUAGAUGCAUUAACUUUACCUGCAAGCAGCCUGCCAUACCUUUUCUGAGUCCUGGUUUAGAAAAGACCUUGAAUACUUUACAGGCGUUGCUGUCUUGGUAGGCUGCGUCCUUGGUAUGAAUACUUGAAAUAUUUUUUUCUUAGUAUAAUGUGACACAUUUAACCUUAUGUGUCAGUCCUGUCUGAGAUGAGACAGGUAGAGGCUGAAGACUUUCCUUUUUGUGAGAACUUUCUCAAGAGGAAAGUAUUUGGGUAGCGCGUAUCUUUGUGGGCCAGAGUCAUUAAAACAAAGCCAAUGCUAAGAGCUGCUGCCAGUUCAACACUUGCUGUGGUUUGAAUGAGACAAAUGUAGAGUUUGUCUCAUGAACUCUUGCUUGAAAUACUUUUAUUAUUUUCAACAAAUUUCACUUUAUCUUACCUUACUUUUCAGCAAAAUGUCUGGAACUGAUGAUUUUUCGUUGGCAGAUGCUUUACCAGAUCAGUCGCCUGCUAAAACCUCCAAAGUGAGCAGUACAAAACCUGGUCAACAGCCUGGUCAGCCACCGCAGGGUUGGCCAACUUCGAAUCCUUGGAACAACCCAAGUGCUCCCCCUACGGCGCCAGCCGGACUGCCACCAAAUACGUCCGCUUCCAGCGUGCCAUUCGGACCUCCACCAACAGGAAUGUAUCCUUCAAUGCCCCCUGGACCGCCUGCUCCAUUUCCUCCUCCUCCUACUGGACCCUCUUGCCCUCCUCCUGGUGGUCCAUAUCCACCCCCAACUGUGCCAGGUCCUGUCCCACCAGGGCAAUAUCCUCCACCAAAUAUGCCCUUUCCAGAGCUUCCAAGACCUUAUGGUGGUCCAACAGAGCCAGCUGCACCUCCUGCUCCCGUUGGGCCAUGGGGAUCCAUGCCCUCUGGAGCAUGGGGACCAACAAUGGGAGGGCAGUAUCCUGCACCUAGCAUGCCAUAUCCACCCCCAGGGCCAUAUUCCGCUCCUACCCAGACUCCAGGGGCUGCACCAACAGUACCAUGGGGUACGGUCCCACCUGGAACAUGGGGACCUUCACCGCCAGGUCCAUUUCCUCCACCCACAGGAUCAUAUCCAGCUCCAGGACUAUAUCCUACGCCCCCUAAUCCUUUUCAAGUGCCAUCUGGUCCUGCUGGUGCUCCAUCAAUGCCUGGUGGUCCCCAUCCUUACCGUUGAAUACGUUCUGGGCAACAAAAUACUGUAGCUUUCCACCUUCAUCCACUACUUACAGAGAUUUUUACGGUUUUUGUUUCAGUAAUGUUUGGGGCUAUGAAGAAUACUUGCCUCUUGUACGUGCAUUUGAGGUUAUUCUAAAAUGUCAAUAAAAAGUGUUUCAAGAUUUUUGUCAAGAAAUCAAAUUUUUGAACAUGCUACAGUAAUUCAAACUAAAGAAACAGAGCAUGUGAACUUGAAGGUUUUCUCAGCAUUUUGUAUAUACUCAAAACAAUUGCUCAGUCUGGGACUACGGAAGAGAAGAUGCGCAUUCGAAAUACUUGGUCUGACUUGUCAGCACACUGUUCGUGUUCACAAACAGGCAUUUAUGUGCAAAUUAAAUAACCUGGAUGUGCAGUUAACUUUGAAUCAACAAAUGUGAGUUUUAUGCAUGCAAAUGAGGACAUCAUUUUGCCAGUUCUCAUUCUGUGGUGGUUGGAAGUUUGGCUUGGUCUAUGUAAAGAGAAACUGAUUCCCACUUAGGUAAGGUACUUCCCUAUUUCUAACCUGGGUUCUAGUCAUUUAAAAUUUGACCUUGCUGCUGGGUUGUGUAAACUUGGCAGACUUUUUCAGAGUCCCUGAAACUGAACUUGAGCUUAAAAGAUAAAAAAACCCAACCUGACAAUUCCCUUCCCAGCAGUUCUUGGCUUGGCGUUUAGUUCUGUCAGCUACAAAGAUCCUUAUUGCCACAGUUGAGAACGAGGAGGUCUCAUCGGGCCUCUGCCAAAUAUUGUAAUGGGGAGAAGUCCUCUGUUCUCAGCUCGGUGUCUGCAUACCUCACUGAGUAAGUGUAAUUUGGGAGUAAUUGAAUGUCUAGAAGCCUGUGCACUGCUGCGUAGCUGUCCCCCCUCUGAAGGGGCACUGCAGUAAGUUUUCAUAUUCCUGCCAUAUCUGUGCAAAGAGCAUGCAAGGGGUUUGCUGCAAUGCUAGUUUAGCAUUACCAAGACACACAGCCAUGUGUCAGUGAGGAGUUCUGGCACUCUUCGUGGUACUUCAUAGCCUAGACUUUGACCAUGGACAGUUUGUUUCAUCCCCAGCUGGGGAUAUCCUAACUUAGCCUCUGUAGGUAGAAUUAGGAACAAAUUUUGCUUAACAUGGUAGCUCAUUAGGGAGUCUUUGUAUCAUGGAACUGUGAAAGCAAGUUAAUUCUCUUCCAGUACCUUGUCGUGGCUUCCUGCAUGCAUGUGAUGGACUACUUAAAAAAAACAAAUGGGGUGACCUGGUGGUGAUGCUUGUUAGUAGUCUUAGCCUUUAUGGCAAAAUCCUGCAAUGUUUUUGCAGAAGAAAGCAGUCAGCUUGGCUGUGGCUGUUUUAAUCUAAUGUCAUGAAAGCUAAUAGCAAAGGUAUGUGUCUUUUUUGUUUUAGGAAGACAAUACUGGAGCUGAACAAAAAAUACUUAACAUUUCAGCUUAAAACCUAGCAUCUGUAACCCUAGAAUAGGAACCAAAAGUACAAGUCUUCACUAACCUUAAACAAGCCCCAGUUGUCCCCCAAACCAACUUGGCUUAGAUCUUGGCAAGACUCAUCAAAAACGUAAGAGAACACUGACUACAUUUGCUCAAGUGCUUUUUUGAUACCUGCAGCCUUAGAUUAUAAAUCAAUGUAAUGAAAAAACAUUUAUUCCAAAUGAAUGGAUCAUGCAGUAGCAGCACUCCAGUUUGAAAUUGCACUGGCCAUAUGUCUUUGCAGGGAAUGGGAAUAGGUAGGAAAGGAUGAAGCAAACGUAGUGAGUAAUGAUUUUUGGAAAGGGGAUUUGUAAAAGUAACUAGACUUCUAGGUUCUUCCUGAAAUAGGCAGGAUUUAUUACUGGAACAUUUAGGCUAAAAUUCAGUAUAUAUGGGAUGUUUUUCAAUGUAUAUUCGUAUUUCUUGAGGUCAUGAAAACUGUUUCAUAACCCCUUUGUUUUUGUGAGCAAAGUUCUUUGCAUAGCAGUGAAAAGGGUAUACCUGUUAAUCUAUUGUGUAAAAACUCAAGUUGUCACUAUAUACCGUGUAGUAACUUUAUCACAUGUUAUGUCAAGUGUGAGCAACUUCUGGCCUGAAGCUUUUGCAAUGGAAUUUGUACAUUUCUAUGCAUCAUUUGAGUUAAAUUGCUGAGAAGUUCGUUUUGACUUGUGCUUUGAGAUUGACAUACUGCAUUUGUUUACAAUAUGAAAUAUAAGCAAUCACAUCUUUAAAGUAUAGAUUAUCACCUGCUGCUGUAUUUUCUUUAGAUGAAACAAAUAUUGCUGUAUGAUAGUGAGAAGCUAUAAAUACAGGAUUUGAUAUUUUUUUGAAAAUGCUGUCACUUUUGUAUAAGAUUAGACAUUAAACGUAUUUUCAAGACUGUUGUGUUUACUGUUUUUCAAUUACUGCUUUUGACAUGCUUGUGUAGACUUUUGCCUUGAAUGAAUAGUAAAAAUAGGACAUCCUUGAUUUGCAAA
RNA transcript from Haliaeetus leucocephalus (bald eagle), 5576 nucleotides. It is a transcript of the gene named mitogen-activated protein kinase 1 interacting protein 1-like, with no coding region annotated. The transcript is spliced from 4 exons. NCBI's taxonomy places the organism in Eukaryota, Metazoa, Chordata, Aves, Accipitriformes, Accipitridae. The record is from RefSeq and is a predicted model, not a curated record.